GCGCGCGCCCCCGCUCGCGAACCUCAAAUCAGGGCGGGGAACGCGCCGGGUUUCAAGACAAAAGCAUAGGGGCGAGAACGCGCCGUGGAGUACAGGGGGCGAGAACGCGCCGUGGAGUACAGGGCGCGCGCGCGCCGCCGAGCGCAAGGUGAAGGGUGGGGCAAAGCGAGUGAGGAAUAUGUGGGGAGCGGCGCUAAGGGCGCGCACCCCUGGGCCCGGGAAGUGGCGCGAGCGCGCGCAAGCUCGGAUUUUCUGGGCGGAGCGCCACAGCAGCUUGAUUCCACGCCCUCCCUAAACGCCGAGGAGGGGCCGUGAGUGCAGCUGAAGCCGUCCUGCCUUCGGGAGCACCUACCGCCAUUUAUUUGACCCUGAGUGGGACCUGGGACAAAUUAAACGUGUGGUGUUUCCCUGGAUUCCUGGAGAAGCUAUAACUUCUCGGAGUGCCUAGGAAGCGCGACACCCCGAAUAGGGGCUCCUCUAAUCCUGCGUAAUGUACCCCAACGGGCAAGCUCCUGGAGGAGAAGAGAGGGUAUCCCCAGUGUAUAAGAUGCACUCUGUCCUCACUUCUGCAUAAUGGAAAUCAUAAGUUCCUUUUAAGACUCAGCCCAAACUAGAAACUGGAAAAUGAAUGGAUGCCCAUCAAUUGGAGAAUGGUUUAGUAAAUUAUGGUAUAUGAAUGUUAUGGGAAUAUUAUUGUUCUGUAAGAAAUGACCAGCAGGAUGAAUACAGAGAGACUUGGAGAGACUUGCAUGAACUGAUGCUAAGUGAAAUGAGCAGAACCAGGAGAUCAUUAUAUAUCUCAACAACGAUACUGUAUGAGAAUGUAUUCUGAUGGAAGUGGAUUUCUUUGACAAAGAGACCUAACUCCGUUUCAAUUGAUCAAGGAUGGACAGAAGCAGAUACACCCAAAGAAAGAACACUGGGAAAUGAAUGUAAACUGCUUGCAUUUUUGUCUUUCUUCCCAGGUUAUUUUUACCUUCUGAAUCCAAUUCUUCCUGUGCAACAAGAGAACUGUUCGGUUCGGCACACAUACAUUGUGUCUAGAAUACACUGUGAUAUUUUUAACUUGUAUAGGACUGCUUGCCAUCUGGGGGAGGGGGUGAAGAGAGGGAGGGGAGAAGUCAGAACAGAAGUGAGUGCAAGGGAUAAUGUUGUAAAAAAAAUUACCCAGGCAUGGGCUCUGUCAAUAAAAAGUUAUAAUAAACAAAUAAAUAAAUAAAUAAAAAUUAAAAAAAAAAAAAAGUGCUACAUAAAAAAAAAAAAAAAAAAAAAAAGACUCAGCCCAAAUGCUACCUUCUGCAUAAGUCCUUUCCUGGUAUCCCCAGUUGCUAGGGACACUCUCCCCAAGUUUACUUUAUAUCUCUUUUGCAUUUUACUUGUUUUCUCUUUAAUAUUGGGAGUCUACCUCACUCUAAUUGAAAUACAGAGGCUCAGACUUCUUAACUGAGAUUAAAUAGAACUAUGAGGUAAAUGUAAAUAUAAGAGGGAACAGCUAGGUGUUACAAUGGAUGAAGUGCUGUCCUGGAGUCAGGAGAACCUGGUUCAUAUCUAGGUUCAAACACUUAUUAGCUGUGUGAUCCUGGUCAAGUCACCUAAUCCAGUUUCCUCAUGUGUAAAAUAAGCUGGAAAGGGGAAAUUUCAGUAUAUUAGUCAAGAAAACUCCAAAUGAGAUCACAGAGAAUUGGCCAUGACUGAACAAUAAAAAAACACAAGAAAUGUUUGGGGAUUGGUUUGAUAAAACAGUAAAACAAAUUAGUUCAAAAUUAGGCAUUCUAGUAGUAAACCAGCCCACUGACAGAAUAGCUGAGAGAAACUAAAAUGCUGAGAGAAAAUGACUAGAGUGGGAAGAGAGGAGAAGGAAAAACAGAAGUUUACAAAAGCAUGUCACUUGAUCCCAAAAUGAGAUUUCAAACUUUAAAAAGUCAGAAUAUUUGAAACUUCUCACUUGCAAAUAUGAGUGUCCCUAAAAUAGCAGUGGCUGACAAUAGCACUGCAUUAGGAACUAAGAAACAUGGAAACAUACUUUCCUUGAGGAAAGUACUUUAGAAGGCUACAAGGAACCUAUACCUAGGGAAAACUUCAUGGAAACCCUUUAAGAGAAGAGUGGAGUGGAAAGACUUCUUUCUAGCAACUCAGAGCUAAUAUUUACCACUUUAUUACAUGUGUUCUCUAACCUUGAAUCCACUCUGUAAGAAAACAUCUCCCCAGCUUGCCAGAAGGGAGGGGGAGACUAUUUUAUAACAAAUGCUAUUACUGUACUUCCUUAGUAAAUAUCCAUUUCUUUAAAAAUAAUAAGUCUGGCUGACUGAUAUCAAUUAAUAAUGAAUAGGAACCAUACUGGUUGGAGCUUAUAAGUGACAGCAUUAGAAAACUACCCUUGUCCAUUAAGGCUACUCCUAAAACCCUGAGGGGAACAGUAGCCAGAAAUGCUCUGAGAACCCAAUCUAUUAUUCUGUAGAUUGAGAAAGUACGCAUAUUUUCUUCUCUAUUAGAAUGUAAGAUCCUUAUUAUAUAACUCAACAACGACACUGUUUGAGGAUGUAUUCUGAUGGAAGUGGAUAUCUUCGAUAAAGAGAGCUAAUUCAGUUUCAUUUGAUCAAAGAUGGACAGAAGCAACUACAAUACUGUAACCUAUUCAACAUGUAAAGGACUGCUUGCCAUCUGGGGGAGGGGGUGGAGGGAGGGAGGGGAAAAAUCGGAACAGAAGUGAGUGCAAGGGAUAAUGCUGUAAAAAAAAUUACCCUGGAAUGAGUUCUGUCAAUAAAAAGUUAUUUAAAAAAUAAUAAAAAUAAAUUUCAAAAAAAAAAAAAAAAGAAUGUAAGAUCCUUGAGGGCAGGGACUUUCACAUUAAUUCCCCUACAAAUACUCUGCAUUUGUCAUGAUGCAGCGCACUUAGUCAAUGCUUAAUAAGUACUUGCUAUUGGUUAUCCAAGCAGUUACUAAGUCUUACUGAUUUUACGUAUUCGUUUUUGCACGUUUUCUUGUCUAUAAUCCCAACUCAACCUCUACUCAGUUCAGUCCCUUUCUGAUCAUUUGACUGCAUGAUUGCAGUACAAUGGCCAGUUUCUUCACUCCACUCUCUUCCAUCAUUUAAACAGUUUAGAAACUGGCAUUCUUAAAACACAGAUCUAUGUCAUCUUCCUCCCCCCUGCCCAACCUACUUCUAACACUAAAUCAAAAAUAUUCAAUGAUUUUCUGUUGGCUUUAAGAUAAAAUACUGUAAUGGGCUGAGGCUUGAGUUGAUGCACUGAGGUCCCAAGCACAUGAGGCUAAAUAGUAAUUGGACCAUACUCUAUUAAUAUAUAAGCUUGGAGAAAGAAUGGCCCCCACCCACUCUUUGUGCAAGUCCUGAUGUGUUGUAUAGGAAAUGACGAUUUUGGUGGGUGGAGGCAGGGGAGUGGAAAAGGAAGGGGAGGAGAUGGCUCAGUGGGUAGAGCACCAGCCCUGAAGUCAGGAGGACCUGAGUUCAAAUCCAGCCUCAGACACUUAACAAUUCCUGGUUGUGUGACCAUGAGCAAGUCACUUAACCCCAACUGCCUCAGCAAAAAGCAAAAAGAAGAAGAGAAACAAACAGAAAAAAGAGAGAGAGAGAGAGAUCUGAGCUCUCCUUUCCCCUUACUUUUCCACUCCCCUGCCUCCACCCACCAAAAUCGUCAUUUCCUAUACAACACAACAGGACUUGCACAAAGAGUGGGUGGGGGCCAUUCUUUCUCCAAGCUUAUAUAUUAAUAGAGUAUGGUCCAAUUACUAUUUAGCCUCAUGUGCUUGGGACCUCAGUGCAUCAACUCAAGCCUCAGCCCAUUACAAAAAACAAAAAAUUCUCAUAUGAUCCUUACACAGUCUGGAUUCCACCAGUGUUUCCUUACUUAUUUAAUGUUAUUUCAUUUAUACUUUUGAAAUAGUCCUUUUAUUUCCUGCCUCUAGGUCUCUGCACAAAUGGUUGCUAUUUUGGGAAUAUAUUCCCUCCUCAUAUCUAAAUGGCAGAAUCCUUAGGUUCCUUCUGAGUACUAUUUAGAUAACAGUCCUAUACAAAACGUUUAUUGAUCCCUCCAUUUGUCAAUUAUCAUCCUUCUUUCACCCUUACUCUCUAUUACCUUGCAUACUUUGGUAAAUACUUCAUAUUUACUUAUUUGUGUAUAUGUUGUGCCCCUUUCUUCCAAAAAAAAAAAAAAAAUGAACUCCUGAAAGGACAAGAAAUUUAUUUUUUUUUUCUUCAAUCCCCAACACAGUGGCAUGCCCAUAUUAAUGCUUAAUAAUUUUUCAAUAAAUUAAAAGUUUCUGGCUCUCUGAGUUCAUAACCUUAACAUAA
Antechinus flavipes (yellow-footed antechinus) is the source of this 4309-nucleotide long non-coding RNA. RefSeq lists it as uncharacterized. The record is from RefSeq and is a predicted model, not a curated record. NCBI's taxonomy places the organism in Eukaryota, Metazoa, Chordata, Mammalia, Dasyuromorphia, Dasyuridae. The transcript has 2 exons.